AUGUCGGGGCAGCAGGUGGAGAUGGAUGGUGGGAUCAUGGAAGGGGGCAGCCAGAUCCUCAGGGUCUCCACCGCCCCCCACCCCAGCUGUGUCCUGGGCCUCCACUUGCAGGUGCAGAAGAUCCGGGCAGGCUGCAGCACACCGGGCCUGAGUAUUAUGACCUGAAGGCCUCAACAUUUAUCUGGAUGGGAAAUGUUUGGAGAUUUGUGUGAUGGGCAACUGGAGGGGCCAGAAAUUGGUUCAACUGAAGUAACCUUCACACCAGAGAAGAUCAAAGGUGGAAUCCACACAGCAGAUACCAAGACAGCAAGGAGUGUGUGCCUCUUGAUGCAGGUUUCAAUGCCAUGUGUUCUGUUUGUGCUUCUCCAUCAGAACUUCGUUUGAAAGUUGGAACUAAUGUUGAAAUGGCACCACAGAUCGUUUACACAGUGAUGGCCUUCAAGCCAAUUGUUGAAAAACUUGGUUUUAAUUUUAAUUGUGACAUCAAAAUGAGGGGCUGUUAUCCUAAAGGUGGUGGUGAAGUGAUUGUUCGAAUGUCACCAGUUACACAGUUGAACCCAAUAAAUUUGACUGAUUGUGGCUCUGUGACUAAGAUAUAUGGAAGAGCUUUUGUUGCUGGUGUUCUGCCAUUUAAAGUAGCAAAAGAUAUGGCGGCAGUGGCUGUGAGAUGCAUCCAUCAGAAAGGAGAUCAGAGAUCUAUAUGUUAACAUCCAGCCUGUUCAGGAACCCAAAGACCAAGCAUUUGGCAAUGGAAAUGGAAUAAUAAUUAUUGCUGAGACAUCCACAGGCUGUUUGCUGGAUCAUUGCUUGGGAAACGAGGUGUAAAUGCAGACAAGGUUGGAAUUGAUGCUGCUGAAAUGCUGUUAGCUAAUCUUAGACUUGGUGGAACUGUGGAUGAGUUUCUGCAAGACCAGCUGAUUAUUUUCAUGGCAUUAGCCAAUGGAGUUUCCAGAAUAAAAACAGGACCAGUUACACUCCAUACACAAACUGCUAUACAUUUUGCUGAACAACUAGCAAAGGCUAAAUUUACUGUGAAGAAAUAAGAAGAUUAAGAUUACUCUAAAGACACUUAUAUUAUUGAAUUCCAAGGAAUUGGAAUGAGAAAUCCAAAUCUAUAA
Molecule: non-coding RNA, 1118 nt
Organism: Marmota flaviventris (yellow-bellied marmot)
Lineage: Eukaryota; Metazoa; Chordata; Mammalia; Rodentia; Sciuridae
Source: RefSeq, a predicted model, not a curated record